AGAGAGCAAUUAAUGGCAGAUUCUGCAAAUUGAAUGACUUCCAUCUUUGGCACAGAGAAUACUACAUUGAAGGGUUGGAUGCCAAAGCUACUCUGGCAACAACUUCACACCAGGGGUUGGGCUCUUAUCCAUGACCAAGCAGCUCAUUGUUGGACAGUGCAAUUCUCCCAGUUCUAAAAUUACUAUUUGAGAAGUAGGAGAAGAUAUUCCAUACUUGGUAUUCCUGUUUUCUAUAAAGUGGAGUCUGAAGCACUUUCAAACAAUAUCAACACAUCUUGCAGGCCAAAGAAUACUUUCAGAUUCUUUUGUUUUGUUUUGUGUUGCUUUGUUUUGUUUUGUUUUGUUAAGAAGUGUCAAAAAGUUAGCGUCCAUAUUCUACAAACCUUUCUGCUUUCCUACCUGGCUGUUUUGAACUGAUGAUUGAAAUAAAUAAUCUAGGAAGCGCACAGUCUUAUUGUAUGUCAAGUAGUG
Long non-coding RNA from Cygnus atratus (black swan), 471 nucleotides. RefSeq lists it as uncharacterized. The record is from RefSeq and is a predicted model, not a curated record. Lineage: Eukaryota; Metazoa; Chordata; Aves; Anseriformes; Anatidae. The transcript has 3 exons.